CAAGUCGAACGAGAAAGUGGAGCAAUCCAUGAGUAAAGUGGCGCACGGGUGAGUAACACGUGACUAACCUACCCUUGAGUGGGGGAUAACCUCGGGAAACCGGGGCUAAUACCGCAUAAUACCUACGGGUCAAAGGAGCAAUUCGCUUAAGGAGGGGGUCGCGGCAGAUUAGUUAGUUGGCGGGGUAAUGGCCCACCAAGACGGUGAUCUGUAUCCGGCCUGAGAGGGCGCACGGACACACUGGAACUGAAACACGGUCCAGACUCCUACGGGAGGCAGCAGUGGGGAAUUUUGCGCAAUGGGGGAAACCCUGACGCAGCAACGCCGCGUGGAGGAUGAAGUCCCUUGGGACGUAAACUCCUUUCGAUCGGGACGAUUAUGACGGUACCGGAAGAAGAAGCCCCGGCUAACUUCGUGCCAGCAGCCGCGGUAAUACGAGGGGGGCGAGCGUUGUUCGGAAUUAUUGGGCGUAAAGGGCGCGUAGGCGGUCGGAUAAGUCUUGUGUGAAAUCUUCGGGCUCAACUCGAAGUCUGCACAGGAAACUAUCUGGCUUGAGUGUGGGAGAGGUGAGUGGAAUUCCUGGUGUAGCGGUGAAAUGCGUAGAUAUCAGGAGGAACACCUGUGGCGAAAGCGGCUCACUGGACCACAACUGACGCUGAGGCGCGAAAGCUAGGGGAGCAAACAGGAUUAGAUACCCUGGUAGUCCUAGCCCUAAACGAUGAUCGCUUGGUGUGACGGGUACCCAAUCCCGCCGUGCCGAAGCUAACGCGUUAAGCGAUCCGCCUGGGGAGUACGGUCGCAAGGCUGAAACUCAAAGGAAUUGACGGGGGCCCGCACAAGCGGUGGA
This 847-nucleotide ribosomal RNA is filed under the name uncultured Acidobacteriaceae bacterium. RNAcentral's name for it is "bacterial SSU rRNA". It matches the Rfam family "Bacterial small subunit ribosomal RNA", at positions 58 to 936 of the family's 1533-position model. The record is from RNAcentral. Lineage: Bacteria; Pseudomonadati; Acidobacteriota; Terriglobia; Terriglobales; Acidobacteriaceae.